RNAcentral lists this ribosomal RNA (301 nucleotides) under uncultured bacterium. RNAcentral describes it as "partial 16S ribosomal RNA". It matches the Rfam family "Bacterial small subunit ribosomal RNA", at positions 509 to 807 of the family's 1533-position model. The record is from RNAcentral.
CAGCCGCCGCGGUAAUACGGAGGGUGCAAGCGUUAUCCGGAUUCACUGGGUUUAAAGGGUGCGUAGGCGGAUCUGUAAGUCAGCGGUGAAAUCUCCAGGCUUAACCUGGAAACUGCCGUUGAUACUAUAGGUCUUGAAUUUUGUGGAGGUUAGCGGAAUAUGUCAUGUAGCGGUGAAAUGCAUAGAUAUGACAUAGAACACCAAUUGCGAAGGCAGCUGGCUACACAACUAUUGACGCUGAGGCACGAAAGCGUGGGGAUCAAACAGGAUUAGAUACCCCAGUAGUCCCUGUCUCUUAUAC